This 1197-nucleotide long non-coding RNA is filed under the name Homo sapiens (human). RNAcentral's name for it is "non-protein coding lnc-EXOC3-3:4". Lineage: Eukaryota; Metazoa; Chordata; Mammalia; Primates; Hominidae. The record is from RNAcentral.
CUGACAUCCCCUCAGCCUGGAGGGCGCCCUCCUGGUCCCCUCGUAUCUGACAUCCCCUCAGCCUGGAGGGCGCCCUCCUGGUCCCCUCCUGUCUGACAUCCCCUCAGCCUGGAGGGCGCCCUCCUGGUCCCCUCCUGUCUGACAUCCCCUCAGCCUGGAGGGCGCCCUCCUGGUCCCCUCCUGUCUGACAUCCCCUCAGCCUGGAGGGCGCCCUCCUGGUCCCCUCCUGUCUGACAUCCCCUCAGCCUGGAGGGUGCCCUCCUGGUCCCCUCCUGUUUGACAUCCCCAGAGUUACUCCUUGGGUCCUUUGAGAGAUGAGACACCAGCUGCACCCAGCAAGCCCUGUCCCCACCCCCAGCCUGUGCAAUUCUCGUCAACACAGAACACCUGCCUGCCCACCCCCGGUGCUGAAGACCGACCAGUCAAGGAGGUGUUGGUGGGAGUGUUGUGUUCACCAUGUGGAGAUCAGGCGGCGAUUACCGCAUCUUCUUUGCUGACUUUGGUAACCGGGUGUCCAGGGAGGAGCGAUCGGGAGUGGCCAAGCAGUUGCCUGGACUCAGCUUCUGACUCUGCAGCUGGGAGUCAGAUGCAGGCCCAAGGGUCCAGGGGAGUUGUUCAGCGCCUGGAAUCGCCAUGCAUUGCGCGGUGGACCGCACGACGCUCCUGCUCUGUUCUCCCAGGCACAGACAGGCACUUGGAAGGCAGCUUUGCUCCUCUGGCCACCCGGAAACCUCCCAGCAGUUCAGAUGGGACAAACUGGGGGCCUGUCAGAACAGCCACUUGUGCCGGGAAGGCCAGGCCCCGGCCUGCUCCGAUGAACGUCAGGACGGUGGCUGCAGCAGGGAACCAGGGCUGGCCUUGGAUCUGUCCAGUAGGGUCACUGACUGGGCAGGGCUUGCUGCAUAGAGGAUGGCUGCAUUUUGUGCUCAGAGUUGGUUGAAAUGGCUACGAAGUGUGGAGAAUAACCACUGAAUCCCAAAAAGUCACUGCGCUUGAUCUGAUCCAAGUAACAGUGACUGCAGUUAGGGUCGAGAGCUUCUCCGAAGCAGCGGUCAUGCAGGCUUUUGUGUGGCUGACGCUUCCCUUUUUCACAACAGUAAAAAGCUAUCAAUGGGAAAUUGUGGACUUUUCCCACCAGGGACUCAAUGGGGACUCAAUGUGCAAUAUUCAGUCAACAUAAAACUCUUUAAGAACUCC